Molecule: long non-coding RNA, 1188 nt
Filed under: Elaeis guineensis (African oil palm)
Lineage: Eukaryota; Viridiplantae; Streptophyta; Magnoliopsida; Arecales; Arecaceae
Description: long non-coding RNA (EGUI_LNC029759)
Source: RNAcentral
CUCUCCCUCUUCUUCCAAUUUUUUUGCUGCUGUGCUCCUCCGUCAUCUUGGUAACCAGCGUAGGGCUGAUCUUUCGAGCCCCCUUCUCUUUUCCUAAUGAUUGGCUCUGCUAUAUGGAUCCUGAGAGAAAGGGAUAGCAUGCAUCAUUUUUAGGAAGACGAGCCUGAAAUUCUCUGAGAUCAAAAUGCCUUUGUGGCAGUAUUAUGAUGGCAGUUGAUGCCAGAUAGUUCAACACAAGUUAGAUACUUAUUUCUUUCGUUCAUGUUUAACCAAGGAUAUUCUGGAGUUGCUCAGUUGGAGAUUAGAAGUGGAGAAAGUGAACAAAAUGGGUCAGGGAUUGAAGCAUUGUCUGGUUUAUGGUGUGAUAUUUGUAUUCUAUUUUUCAUAUGCUGAAAAGUAUAAAGAACUAUCCGGUGGUAUAUUGCAUUUCAUUGCAGGAUAGCAGGGGCUACGAGAAAACAUUGCAACUAAAUUAGUUAUCCCUCACCCAGGAUACAUAAUAAUUUUUCCAGCUUGGUCCAUAACGACCAGAUACUUUCUAUUGACACAUUUUGAGGACUAACUUACAUGUAUGCUUCCCAUUAUUAUAUGGUGAUAGGUCUUAUAUGCAUGAUUCUGUAUUGGUUGUAAGAAUAAUAUUAAUUAAAAAUUUUGUCAAUAAAGUGAAGUGAACGCAACGGUAAGUUCACCUGAUGCUUUUAGCUGUACUUAUAUGAUCAUGAUAUGUGCUUGGACCUGUAGAAAGGUUAAAGCUUGGGGCAAUAUGUGGCAUCAGUAACAUGAGUGCUUUGAUGAGUCUUGUGGUGGUUUCCCAUUUUGUCAAAGUUUUGAUGUGAUAUUGGUGAGAAUGAGAUCACAUUUAUGCAUCUCGUCCAAGAGAAAGUUAAGUGGCAACUACUGUUUGGAUGGAUGCUUGAUCGGUAGGUCUUGUUUUUAGUACUCUACCAAAAACGUGGUAUCAGUUUAUAUGUUCUUUAAUGCUCUUGUGGUGGUUUCUUAUAUAUUAUAAUUGGAUAUGGCACUAGCUAGAUCACAUUCAAUUAUUUGGUCUAGCUGGGGGUGAAAAUGAGCCGAGUAGUUGGCAAGCCGCUGGAGUUGGAAUUUGUUCCAAACUGGACUCAACUAUUGGGCUCGAAUAGCUCAAUAAUGUUUUUGAGUUGAGCUCAAAUAGCAAAAUGCCUGGCUGGG